This 204-nucleotide microRNA precursor is filed under the name Oryza punctata. RNAcentral's name for it is "MIR812 microRNA precursor family". It matches the Rfam family "MIR812 microRNA precursor family". The record is from Rfam by way of RNAcentral. Lineage: Eukaryota; Viridiplantae; Streptophyta; Magnoliopsida; Poales; Poaceae.
AAAGAACAUAAUUUUACGUUUUUAUGUCUAACGUUCGACUGUUCUUAUUAUUUAAAUUUAUUUUAUUAUUGAUAUUUUUAUUGUUAUUAUAUGAUAAAACAUGAAUAAUACUUUAAACGUGACUAAUUUUAUUAAUUUUUUUAUAAUUUUUUAAAUAAAACGAAUGGUUAAACGUUGGACACGAAAACCUAUAAUGUACUUAAA